This 425-nucleotide ribosomal RNA is filed under the name uncultured rumen bacterium. RNAcentral's name for it is "bacterial SSU rRNA". It matches the Rfam family "Bacterial small subunit ribosomal RNA", at positions 354 to 776 of the family's 1533-position model. The record is from RNAcentral.
GUGAGGAAUAUUGGUCAAUGGACGAGAGUCUGAACCAGCCAAGUAGCGUGCAGGAUGACGGCCCUAUGGGUUGUAAACUGCUUUUAUACGGGGAUAAAGUGAGGGACGUGUCCCUUUUUGUAGGUACCGUAUGAAUAAGGACCGGCUAAUUCCGUGCCAGCAGCCGCGGUAAUACGGAAGGUCCGGGCGUUAUCCGGAUUUAUUGGGUUUAAAGGGAGCGCAGGCUGAUUGUUAAGCGUGACGUGAAAUGUAGCCGCUCAACGGCUGAACUGCGUCGCGAACUGGCAGUCUUGAGUGAGUACGACGUCAGCGGAAUUCGUGGUGUAGCGGUGAAAUGCUUAGAUAUCACGAAGAACCCCGAUUGCGAAGGCAGCUGACGAGUCCUUUACUGACGCUAAAGCUCGAAGGUGCGGGUAUCGAACAGG